This is a long non-coding RNA of Eurytemora carolleeae, 669 nucleotides long. RefSeq lists it as uncharacterized. The record is from RefSeq and is a predicted model, not a curated record. The transcript is spliced from 3 exons. NCBI's taxonomy places the organism in Eukaryota, Metazoa, Arthropoda, Copepoda, Calanoida, Temoridae.
AAGAGGUCGUGAGGUCAGAUCUGACAGAAACAAUGGUUUAGCGGAUGUUCUGGAUAAAAAUAGGCCUAGAUUCGGAAAACGGUCGGAACAGGGAAGAAUGAAGAAAUUAAGUUUGCUUCAACUCAUAAAUCAGCUGAACAAGGAUGGAUUUACUCGAUAAUUCUGGUAUCCCUGAUUACCAGAUAAUUCUGGUAUCCCUGAUUACCAGAUAAUUCUGGUAACCUUGAUUACCGGAUAAUUCUGGUAUUCCUGAUAACCAGAUAAUUCUGGUAUCCCUGGUUACCGGAUAAUUCUGGUAUCCCUGAUUACCAGAUAAUUCUGGUAUUCCUGAUUAGCAGAUAAUUCUGGUAUCCCUGAUUACCAGAUAAUUCUGGUAACCCUGAUUACCAGAUAAUUCUGGUAUUCCUGAUUACCAGAUAAUUCUGGUAACCCUGAUUACCAGAUAAUUCUGUUAUCCAUAAACUUCUUCCUAUUUUAUGCUAACUAUGUUCCAAAAGAGAGAUAAACCCUGCGCCCAAUCCCCUUGAAUUUGUCAGCACUAUACUGUGUACCCCUCACACGCAGUUUGUUCAUUUUAUAAUGUAUAUUAAUGCGAAAUUGAGAUUGUGAAAUCAAGAUAUAACCAUAAGAUGUAGUUUACAAGAGAAAUAAAUAUUCUGUAAAAAUUCA